AUGUAGAUGAAGUAGUGGAGUAGCGAAUUGCAGAUGAUGAUGUCAUACUCAUCAAAGGAACUAAAACAACAGGGGUUGUGUCGAUAAUUCUGAGAGGUGCUAAUGACUUCAUGCUUGAUGAAAUGGAUAGGGCGGUACAUGAUGCUUUAUGUAUUGUCAAAAGAACCCUCGAAUCCAAUAUAGUGGUUGCAGGAGGGGGUGCAGUUGAGGCUGCUUUAUUUGUGUAUUUAGAGUACCUUGCUACAACUUUGGGGGUCCCGCAAACAGCUGGCGAUUGUAGAAUUUGCUGAGUCAUUGUUGAUAAUUCCAAAGGUUU
This is a non-coding RNA of Lactuca sativa (garden lettuce), 316 nucleotides long. The record is from RefSeq and is a predicted model, not a curated record. NCBI's taxonomy places the organism in Eukaryota, Viridiplantae, Streptophyta, Magnoliopsida, Asterales, Asteraceae.